This is a long non-coding RNA of Notolabrus celidotus (New Zealand spotty), 1171 nucleotides long. RefSeq lists it as uncharacterized. NCBI's taxonomy places the organism in Eukaryota, Metazoa, Chordata, Actinopteri, Labriformes, Labridae. The transcript is spliced from 2 exons. The record is from RefSeq and is a predicted model, not a curated record.
GGUUGAGAGCAGGACGGUGUUCCUUUCGGGUUGGCUUGAUCGUUGUGUGCUGGAAGCUCAUAUAGUACGCGGUACGAGCGUGAGGUAGUGACGUGAUCGGGUCGCGGACGGCCGAGGUGUUUUACUAUGAUGAAAAAGCAAUCAACAAUGAUCCAUCAUCUGUAAAGAAAGGAAAGAAGGCCAACAAGUUCUGCAGAGGAGAACACACUUUGAAGAACUACCAGCUGACCGUGCCAGAUAAACAAGCCUCAGACUUCUCUGUGUACCGCAGUGCGUGAGCGCAUCAACAUCUUCACUUCUCUUUUUUCAUCUUCAAGAGGAACCAGAGAUACCAAACCAUCAACCCAUGUUCCUGUCUUGCUCAGGGGCUGUUAGAUAAGUGUUAUAUAACUUUGACUGCCGGGGAGUUAGAUAACCAUUUAUAAAACUUCAGCCAGAUUAGAGCGGGUAAUUUGUGAGUGUGUUGACAGCACACACAGAGGCCAUCACUGUGUUUAUCAAACAUGUGACUCCCCCUGAAGAGGAAGUCUUGUUUUGUGGGGUUUUUUUUCAUCUUAUUGAACUGCAGGUGUCCUUACAAAACUCUCCUUGAAGGUAACCACAUGACAGAGAUCAUUAUAAACUAACCUGAUGGUAACCUCCACUCCAAAACGCCCUGCUGUGUUUGUUUGAUUAUUUAUAUAUUUAUAGAGUACACUCCUUUUUCUGGACUACCUUUCAGACACUCGACAAUCACUCCAAAAUUAUAUGUGUUCAUUAAUUGUUCAUCACUGACUGUAACUACAAAGUGGUAUGAACUGUAUCGAAACAAAGCAUGUCAACUUAUUUCACCUUUUCAUGCAGGAGCUUGAAAACCUCCAUGCUCUCUGCUCAUGUUGCCAUGGUAAGAAAAGAGAUAAUGGCUGAUGCAGUGCUCACGCAUUGUUCUCACAGUACAGCCUUGAGUAUCUCUGCUCCAGAUAAUUAUAGUUGAACAUUUAAAGAAAGAAACUAUUCUUUGCACAGAACAAAGUGUUGAACAAUCUUUUGAAGCCAACAAGUCGAAACAGUCCAAAGUGAAAGAAGUUAUCUUUAAGGCUCAGCUUUUUCCUCGAAUGUUAGCGGUCAUGUUUUGAGAUUUUAAUCAUUUGAUAAAGAUCAUGACAAGAGAAAUAAAGACAUUCAGUUCUUA